Transfer RNA from Cavia porcellus (domestic guinea pig), 72 nucleotides. It matches the Rfam family "tRNA". From Rfam's summary of the family: Transfer RNA (tRNA) molecules are approximately 80 nucleotides in length. The record is from Rfam. Lineage: Eukaryota; Metazoa; Chordata; Mammalia; Rodentia; Caviidae.
AGAGCUGUAGCUCAAUAGUAGAGCACUUGUUAAGUAGGUAUGAGGUCCUGGGUUCAAUCCCCAGUAUCUUAA